RNAcentral lists this transfer RNA (57 nucleotides) under Cavia porcellus (domestic guinea pig). It matches the Rfam family "tRNA", at positions 8 to 63 of the family's 71-position model. From Rfam's summary of the family: Transfer RNA (tRNA) molecules are approximately 80 nucleotides in length. Their secondary structure includes four short double-helical elements and three loops (D, anti-codon, and T loops). The record is from Rfam by way of RNAcentral. Lineage: Eukaryota; Metazoa; Chordata; Mammalia; Rodentia; Caviidae.
UAGCUCAGUGCCAUAGCAUGUGCCUGACAAGCACAUGACCCUGAGUUUAAUUCCCAG